UAAAAAUUCAUCUAUAACAAUAAAAAAAUUCAAAAUUUGAUUCUUGAUAUUAUAAAUAAUUUAAUGCCUAACAAAAAAGUCAAAAAAAAAACACAAUCAUCAAGAUCACUAUUCAUCAGGAAAACCACAUAGCUUUUAUAUAAAUAUAUCUAACUACAUGGAACUAUACAUAACUACAGUUAUCUAUACGACUAAAUUUGACUCAAAUCGCACUUGUCAACACGGGAACCGCUUGUUUUGAACAACGAACACAAUCCACUCCGCAAAAACUUACUACAUAGUAGUUCAAACACCAAAACCUGUGAAAAGGAAAAAGAGUUAAACAAACAACGAAUUUUGCUUCAAAUUUAAAUGUGCACACACGCACUAUCACCUACUGGUAUACAUAGAUACUCCUCACAUAACUCAUACAUGACUACAUAUGACUACAUGACUACAUAGUUUAUAUAUAACUAUAUAUUACUACAUGUUACU
RNAcentral lists this long non-coding RNA (474 nucleotides) under Erythranthe guttata (spotted monkey flower). RNAcentral's name for it is "long non-coding RNA (EGUT_LNC002267)". Lineage: Eukaryota; Viridiplantae; Streptophyta; Magnoliopsida; Lamiales; Phrymaceae. The record is from RNAcentral.